This 492-nucleotide ribosomal RNA is filed under the name uncultured bacterium. RNAcentral's name for it is "partial 16S ribosomal RNA". It matches the Rfam family "Bacterial small subunit ribosomal RNA", at positions 29 to 507 of the family's 1533-position model. The record is from RNAcentral.
AGUGAACGCUGGCGGUAGGCCUAACACAUGCAAGUCGAACGGCAGCACAGUAAGAGCUUGCUCUUACGGGUGGCGAGUGGCGGACGGGUGAGGAAUACAUCGGAAUCUACUUUUUCGUGGGGGAUAACGUAGGGAAACUUACGCUAAUACCGCAUACGACCUACGGGUGAAAGCAGGGGAUCUUCGGACCUUGCGCGAUUGAAUGAGCCGAUGUCGGAUUAGCUAGUUGGCGGGGUAAAGGCCCACCAAGGCGACGAUCCGUAGCUGGUCUGAGAGGAUGAUUCGGCCAAACUGGACCGGAGAAACGUCCCAGACCCCAACGGAGGGCAGCAGUGGGAAUAUUGGAACAAGGGGGGCAAGCCGAACCCAGCCUACCGGGGGGGGGGAAAAGGGCCUUGGGUUGGUAAAGCCCUUUUGUGGGGAAAGAAAAGCGGCAGGUAAAUACCCGGUGGUUCGAACGGUACCAAAGAAAAAGGAACCGGUAAACUUGUG